CUUGCGGAGGAUGGGGAUGCGUUGGAUUAGCUUGCUGGUGAGGUAACGGCUCACCAGGGCUCCGAUCCAUAGGGGUUCUGAGAGGAAGGUCCCCCACACUGGCACUGAGACACGGGCCAGACUCCUACGGGAGGCAGCAGUGAGGAAUAUUGGUCAAUGGGCGGAAGCCUGAACCAGCCAAGUAGCGUGCAGGAUGACGGCCCUACGGGUUGUAAACUGCUUUUGCGGGAGGAUAAAUUCGCCCCACGUGUGGGCGCUUGCAGGUAUCCCGCGAAUAAGGACCGGCUAAUUCCGUGCCAGCAGCCGCGGUAAUACGGAAGGUCCGGGCGUUAUCCGGAUUUAUUGGGUUUAAAGGGAGCGCAGGCGGAGAUGCAAGCGUGCCGUGAAAUCGCGGGGCUCAACCCCGUCCAGCGGCGCGAACUGCAUCCCUUGGUUGCGGGAGAGGAAGGCGGAACUCGUGGUGUAGCGGUGAAAUGCAUAGAUAUCACGAAGAACUCCGAUCGCGAAGGCAGCCUUCCGGCCCGUUAACGACGCUCAUGCUCGAAGGCGCGGGUAUCAAACAGGAUUAGAUAACCCUGGUAGUCCGCGCAGUAAACGAUGAGUGCUCGGG
Molecule: ribosomal RNA, 610 nt
Filed under: uncultured bacterium
Lineage: Bacteria
Description: bacterial SSU rRNA
Rfam family: Bacterial small subunit ribosomal RNA
Source: RNAcentral